RNAcentral lists this transfer RNA (69 nucleotides) under Ictidomys tridecemlineatus (thirteen-lined ground squirrel). RNAcentral's name for it is "Spermophilus tridecemlineatus (thirteen-lined ground squirrel) tRNA". It matches the Rfam family "tRNA". From Rfam's summary of the family: Transfer RNA (tRNA) molecules are approximately 80 nucleotides in length. Lineage: Eukaryota; Metazoa; Chordata; Mammalia; Rodentia; Sciuridae. The record is from Rfam by way of RNAcentral.
GGGGUUGUAGCUCAGUGGCAGAGUGCUUGCCUUGCACACAUGAGGCCCUGGGAUCGAUCCUCAGCACCA